UGAACGCUGGCGGCGUGCCUAAUACAUGCAAGUCGCGCGAACAGACGCGGAGCUUGCUCCUCUGACGUUAGCGGCGGACGGGUGAGUAACACGUGGAUAACCUACCUAUAAGACUGGGAUAACUUCGGGAAACCGGAGCUAAUACCGGAUAAUAUAUUGAACCGCAUGGUUCAAUAGUGAAAGACGGUUUUGCUGUCACUUAUAGAUGGAUCCGCGCCGCAUUAGCUAGUUGGUAAGGUAACGGCUUACCAAGGCAACGAUGCGUAGCCGACCUGAGAGGGUGAUCGGCCACACUGGAACUGAGACACGGUCCAGACUCCUACGGGAGGCAGCAGUAGGGAAUCUUCCGCAAUGGGCGAAAGCCUGACGGAGCAACGCCGCGUGAGUGAUGAAGGUCUUCGGAUCGUAAAACUCUGUUAUUAGGGAAGAACAAAUGUGUAAGUAACUAUGCACGUCUUGACGGUACCUAAUCAGAAAGCCACGGCUAACUACGUG
This 495-nucleotide ribosomal RNA is filed under the name uncultured bacterium. Its description in RNAcentral is "partial 16S ribosomal RNA". It matches the Rfam family "Bacterial small subunit ribosomal RNA", at positions 30 to 507 of the family's 1533-position model. The record is from RNAcentral.